This 812-nucleotide long non-coding RNA is filed under the name Equus asinus (donkey). RNAcentral describes it as "lncRNA (ENSEASG00005029680.1)". Lineage: Eukaryota; Metazoa; Chordata; Mammalia; Perissodactyla; Equidae. The record is from RNAcentral.
CUUCAUUUUAAAGCAAUCGCACUGUCUUCUGUGGGAUCCUCACCCAUUGGCUCCUGUCCCAUCACAACAGACAAAAAAGGCCACGUCCUGGCUUUGAGAGAAUGGACUUAAUUGUGUUUGCUUACACACGCCAGAGCCAGGCUGUGGUUCGCCGUGCCUGCAGGUGUCAAAAUGCCCUGACAUACACCGGGUCUUAGAUCACGGCAGGGUAGGAAUUUCUUCCCACGCCGGGUCUGCAUCCUGGAAAGAAGGCUCUGAUGCUGAGGAUACCUCCGGGGUUGAGUGGGGCCCUAAGUGCUCCUGGCAUAGCAUAGCCCCUUCACUCAGUGUCUCUGUAGACCACCUGCUCUUUAGACAACUUCUUCUAACCAAAACCCAGUCUCCUGCUCCUUUUCGUGUCUCUUCAAAAUUUAUCAGAAUAUCUUUAGGCAACCAACCGUUGUAUAGGGGUAAAGUUAAGGAUCUCGAGAUGAGAUUACCCUGGAUUAUCUGGUGGGCCCUAAAUCCAAUAAGUGUCUUUACAAAAAGAAGAAGUCACAGAGGAGAAGACCUGUGAAGCCAGAGGCAGAAAGUGGAGUGAGGCCCACAGCCACUAGAAGCUGGGAGAGGUGAAGAACGAAAUCCCCCCAAGCCUCAGCGGGAACACAGCCGACACCUUGACGUCCGGCCCCAGGAUGGUGAGAGAAUAAAGUGCUUUUGUCUUUCUUUCUCUCAUUUUCUCUCUGGGCCCUUCCCAUAUUCUGGCACCCCUUGACUUUUGACCCCUGGAGAAUGCUGCAAACAGGAGAGAAGAUCUGAGAGGCCAGGCACUG